RNAcentral lists this ribosomal RNA (135 nucleotides) under Ricinus communis (castor bean). Lineage: Eukaryota; Viridiplantae; Streptophyta; Magnoliopsida; Malpighiales; Euphorbiaceae. The record is from RNAcentral.
AGGUGUGAUUAUACAGCCACUAAUGUACAGAAUCCUAUCAGAACUCCGAAGUUAAACGUGCUUCGGCGAGAGUAGUACUAAGAUGGGGUAGUACUAAGAUGGGUGACCUCUUGGGAAGUCCUCGCAUUGCACCCC